This 573-nucleotide small RNA is filed under the name Pongo abelii (Sumatran orangutan). RNAcentral describes it as "retained intron". Lineage: Eukaryota; Metazoa; Chordata; Mammalia; Primates; Hominidae. The record is from RNAcentral.
ACAUUGAUUCUCUCCUCUCCUCUUCCAGGUUUGAGAAACCCUCCAAGACCCCUCUUGGUGCCUGGUCCCUCCAGCACAGGAAGCAAUGACUCAGAUGGCGGCCUUUUUGCUGUCCCGACAACCUUGCCACCCAACAGCCGACAUGGGAAGUUCUUCUCUCCCAGUAAAGAAGCAGAGCUGACUUUCCGCCAGCAUCUGAACUCCAUCAGCAGAACACUGCUCCCUAGACCAUCGGAAAACCAGUCCCACAACGUUUGUUCCUUCUCCAUCCUGUCUAACUCUUCCGUAACUGGUGCUAUCGACUUAGCAGCUACGAGUGCCGGCAUUCUCUCUGGGAACCCCCUCCCUGCCUUGGACACCGAGGGCUUGUCUGGCAUCUCUCCACUGUCUUCAGACGAGGUGACGGGUGCCAUCUCGGGGCAGGACUCCACUGGAACUCACCAGGAUGGAGAUGCCCUCCCCACUGUGGGGGGCUCAUCUGUUCUCUCCCUAUCUGAGCUGCCCAAGGCCCCUCUCCAGAAUGGCCUCUCCACACCGCUGUCCUCGUCAGAGAACUCCAGCACCCGGCUGUCU